Molecule: small nuclear RNA, 22 nt
Filed under: Arabidopsis thaliana (thale cress)
Lineage: Eukaryota; Viridiplantae; Streptophyta; Magnoliopsida; Brassicales; Brassicaceae
Description: snRNA_16273
Source: RNAcentral
AACAUAGAUUGUGAUUGUGAAU